GUGUGUGUGUGUGUGUGUGUGUGUGUGUGUGUGUGUGCGCCAGCAAUUACAGAGUAAGUUUAGAAGUGAUCACAAAGCACGGGCGCACACACCCAUGGGCCACGUACCGCAAAUUCCUGAUUUUCCUCAUCGGUGUCGUCAUCAGGACCACCUACGCUAUCUGAGACAACACCCGUCCCCCGUAGUCGGCACCGCGUCUGUGGCAAUAGUGAAGAGUCCCACAGUGAGUCAGAGAUAAAGAGGUCAGAGGUCAACAGCGUCCCGGUGAAAACUGUGUAGUGUGUGCGUGCCUUUUGAGGAGAGUCAGAGAAACACAGCCACAGAGGUGCUUUCAGCCAAAUGCUAACGUUAGCGUGCUAACAUGCUCUGCAUGACGAUGCUAGCAAGCAGAUGUUUUUUUCUCCAUAUAUUUGUAGUACUGGAUGAAUUGAACAUUUGACCAGAUGUUACACAGAGUGAAAAUAAACAGAAACACUAUACUUACUAGUAUUUACUGUUUGGGAAUCUGUACAAAAUGACACAAUUCUUGCGAAUAAUGACACGCAGCUAGCGUAGCUAAAAGUAAAAAAUCCUAUAUUUUUGGAGAUUUGGUGCGAGAAUGUUCUCAGUUUUUUCCCCGAGCAACAGUAAAAAUGAAUUAAUUACAUUUUUAUGCGAACAACAAACGGAAAACGACAACACAAGGAGGUCGCAACGAUGCUGCCGCCACAACAAGUGGUUUCCCUCAGCCACAAGUGUCACGUGUGUGUACUUGAAGCGCACGGCUUCUGUGACAGGUUACUUUGACCUACGACAUCUGUCACGGUGACAUCAAACGCCAAUAAAUCCCCAGAGAGAGAGCGCGCUACGGAACGCACUGCGCCGGUAAAAAAACCGUGUGUGAUUGUGUGCGUGUGACUUCGAGCCCUCGUGACCUGUGUUUGAGCAGCGAUAAGAGAGCGUCGACAUGUGCAAAGUGCCAGCUGCGGUGGAUUUAUCAGCAGGACAAAGGGCCAACCGAGGGAACACAACAAAAGGUGCUGAUAAAAGCAGCUUUUACACUUCAUAUUUCAGGAAGCCUGCCGUCGCUUAGCGCAACAACAACACGGGAGUGAAAGUCCCGUCUGCACAAAGAACAAAACGGUUGUGUAGUUGUUUGGUUGGGAAAUUCCACAAAAAAACACCGCAAAAACGUCACUUUCAUCUCACUACAAACACGCUUUUUUUAUGGAACCAUCUCGAGCUCUCAUCUCAACAUUCAGGCCGCGUUUCACCGCGGAGACGACACACUUUCACACACUUAAAUUCACUUUCAUAACUACACAAGCGCGGGGAGGCCGCUGCUGGUUAUCUGGAGAGUAAAUAUUGAACUUUGCUGCGGGCGGCUCGACCGUUGUGCUGUGCAUACUAUGAGGCAGAAAGGACUCGGGGUUUAAGAAGGUGAAACGCUCCGACUCUGUUAAUUGGGCAUCGUUUUGGUCCAUUGGAACAGAAAGGAUCUCAGCAGCUGCUCUUAUUCUCCACGGCUUGGAAUGACGCUGAUGUCAGAGUUUAAGCUCGUUCUUCUUUCUCGACUCAUAACAGAUGCUUUCACCCUAACGUCUAGGGCUGUCGACAUUAGCGUGUUCAUCUAUGCGAUUAAUGUGGCCGAUUAAUGCAAUACAAUAUUUGAACGCACCUUUAUUUACUUCCAGUCUUCCGUUGUGCUGGAAGUAAACAAAGUUGACCCCGGAAACAGCUAAUUGGUGACGGAGAUGGUAGCUGGAGAUGAAGCUUUUUGCUUUGGAAGUAAAGCCAACAGAGGCGAGACAUCCAGCGGAGAACUGCGCAGCGGAAUGACUGCACAAGUCGAACAGAAGGGGGGGGUGAGUGGCAAACUGACCACUUUACGAACCGCUAUGCUAAGCUAGCUGCUAGGCUACUUCCAUCUCAACAUCUACCCAUACAGUCUGCAGAGGAUCACCACUGUGUCUCCAAAAGCAGUAGUAGAUGAAUGUUCCACCUGGUGGGAUUCUGCCGCCAAGAAGAUCAAAUGUGUGUAGUGGGGUUUUAAAUAAUAUUUUAAUACAUUUUAAAAUAACUUUAACAAUUAAACAACAGUGUCUAAAAUACACACUUUCUAAAACAUUUAUUAACAACGUUGUAACAACAACGUUCAAUAAUCGCGAUUAAUCGCGACGAAUGAAAAUGUGUGAUUCAUUUGUUUGUUUUUUAAUCGAUUAACAGCCCUACUAACGACACGUCCAAUGCUCUUAAAUUCCGCUGAUCUCAUGGUGGACCCUCGUCUCUUCUCGCGCUAAAAUUCAUGUUUACACACAGAACAUUCGUCCCCUUGUGCUUUUAUCUUUGCCGUUCUGUCAGUGAUGACCUAUACGAUCUCUCAGGGAAAAGGCUCGAGUUGCGGCCUGAAGGCAGCGCGUCAACGUUCCCUUUCCGACCAAAACAGAGAGAGGAAAGCGCUUUUGUUUCCUCUGUCAGCUAUCGGUUACUGACCCCAGACACAAGAGAAUCGCAGUGUAACUUCCUCCCAGUUAGUAGCAGAGGUGUAGUGAAGUAAAGCCUGUCCCACAGAGGACAAAGCUAAACACAUGAAGUGGGGGACAUAGACAACGCCAGUGCUUAAAGGGGCGAAUGAAUGACAUCAGCCAGAAGCCAUCGCUCCUGGAGCUCAGUCGCCACGGUCUAAUAUUUCAGAAAAUCCUUCCUUUUGUGACCCUCCGUGAUUCCUAGCUCUUUAAAUCCUGCAUCUAGGUGCAGCGUUAGGAAACCGCGUUGGCACACAUGCGAUCACACUCGGGGAAGCUUGUGUGAGAGUUUAGAAGCUCGGUACAUCUGGGGUGGAUGCACACCGGCUCUGCAACGGCAGCUGCUACUAUAAGCAUUUGUCCCACACUCAUGACUCCAAACAGUCAGUUUGGCUUUACAACACAUUUAUAUGAUGGCAACGAAAGAAGAAACAAAGGGAUAUUCAAGCAGUUUAUUAUUGUUCUUCCAUCAAGGAAACUGGUCUGUCGAGCUUGAACUGGUUGUAUCAGUCGGCGUACGGAGCAUAGCCGGCUUAAGUGGACGUGGUUGACGUGGUUUGUGGACUGAGGAUGGAGCCGAGUACAAAUAAUGAGGCAUUUUAAUGCGACCAGUUACCUACAACAACACCCUGAGUUAUGAUCGAUUGGUGUAGGAUUGACAGCAUGGAUUCAUGUCGACAGUGUUUUACUGAGGCAAUAAAUCAAGUGACAAAUGGGCCUUUUCUAAUGGACUCGUUGAUCGAAUAGGAGUCGCCCCCUGCUGGCCGGUAGAAAUGAUGCCUGUUUAAGGUUCUUCAGACCCGGAGGUCGGGUGGAUGACGGGAUAAUCGCGUCUCCAGUGAAACCAGAGGUCACCUUCUCCAUCAUGUAGCCUCAAAACGUAAUUAACGCCGAUUCUGUAGUUAUUUCAUCCUGAACUGCAACCUUUUACUAAACCAAACCAAGUAAUUCUUUGGAUUAAAAAACAAUAACACUGAUUGCUGUUGUUGCUGGACGUUUGUGAUAAAACGCACAAAAUGCGUUUACAUUUAUUUUCAUCACUUUUAUUAACCAUCUUCCACCUCAUUCUGUCUAGACUCUGUGCCCGGAGGCGUGAGCUCUAAAACCUGAGUGAGGAGUUCGAAUGAAAGGAAUGCUUGUUCCCCCUCAUGUUAUCCUCUGCACCCCCCCAAACCACCCCACCCCCCCCCGGGGGCGAGUGAGGGCGGGUUGGACCGCAGCUCCCAGACUGCGUGGCAUUCCUAAAAUGAGUGCUAGCUUGUCGUUGCCCGAGUUCCCAAUCUAACCGAAGGCCGGCCUCUUUCAUUCACAAGCCCUUCGGGAGGUGAGGUUAAAGGUCAAAGCAAAUAUUUAGCUGGGUUCAAUAGCAAUAGAUUGUUUAUCCAUAAUCCCAUUGUUCCCGUGUCCUCUGUGACUUGCACUUUAGCAGUACUUGUGAUAUUUCCCACCUUUGGCAAACACAAGAAGACCUUCGCAGGAAAAAAAAAGGUUCUUGGUUACUGAACGGAUGUUUUUUUUAAUGAAUUUCACAUUCGGUACCACUUACAGUUCCUUUUUUAGAUCAUUUAAAAAAAGAAGUGGUUAGCUGGCAUGAGCAGCAAGGGCUGCUGUGACACAACAGACGAUGAGGAGGCCACAUACAGAAAAGCUAAAUCAUGUAUUAAGUGCAAACUAACAUUUGACCCAUUGCGCUUUCUACCAAAAGAAAAAAUUACCAAAUUAUGACAUGAAAUCUGUUACCAGGCGGACUCUACAGACACAUGAUAAGUGAAGAAAAAGGUUUCCACAACCAUUUAAUGCCUCCCCUCCUAAACCUUAUAAUUUUCAGUAUCAAUAUGUUUUUUUUAAACUACAUUUACAACUUUUUAAGACUCUACCUUCAAUCGAUUCAAUCUACGAUUCCAGGCUGCCCCAUGUUCCACGUCGAAGUGUCCCUGAGCAAGACACCUAACCCCUAAUUGCUCCCGGGGCAAAAAUAUGAAAAAGCCAUGGGUUUAAAGUGUAAUGUAAGUCGCUUUGGAUAAAAGCGUCUGCUAAAUGACCUGUAAUGUAAUGUAAUGUAAUCGAAUGUUUCCAUUUGUUUUUAAUUUGUAAUUUAAUUUAAUUAUAAAAAACAACAUUUAAGUCUCCCAACUUUCCGUUGUGGUUUCUUUAAGUGUUUAUUAUCUAUUUGUCCUCCGGGUCUAACGGCGUCUGCUUCACUGGGUGUUUACCGGGGGGCGGAGAGACCCUCGAGCACGGCCGGGAAUCAAUCCCCCUUCCUCCUCCUCCUCCUCCUCCUCCUCCCGGCCUUCUGGACAACGUACGGCGAUUCUGCCAGAGAAGAAGAGCAAGAAGCAGAAGCUCUCAGAUCAGUGAGCUUCCCUCCGGAGUCUUUUAUCAGCCGGCUUCCUGUCAUUACUCCGUCAGGUGUCAGCUCUGGAGUCUGGGAAGGAUCCAUGGCCCCUCAUUUCAGAGGCGUAGGGGCGUUUUUUGGGUGGAGAUGGGGGGGUCUGUUUGGGGUUUGGGACGCGUCUAUAAUUGAUGGUUCGGAAGUUUUAAGGGGGACGAUGAGAGGAGUUUAAUAAAGUUCCACAAGUGAGUCUCUUACUGUUCAACGUGGAAAUGCAACAAUUGCCUCAUUCGGGGGCGGAGGGGUCACACAGGCGGCCAUGUUGAAACACAAACAAUGUGUCAUGUUGUGUUUGUUGUUUCAUUAUCAUGAUUAAGCUGUACUAUGAUUCUGUGCCAGCUUUUUGCUAAUGUUUAAACUAGUAUAAUACUAGUGUGAACUACCCACAGCUUUCAUGCUGAUUGCAUGAAUUAUAAAUAAUUCCUUUCGUCCCGUAAUUUUGGAGGACCAAAUUCAAUGGGAACUAUCAAAAUAAUGUUAACAUUUAAUAUUUGGUGAGUGAUGAUUUGCAGUCACUAACUUUUACAAGUGGAAGACCAACAGCUAUUAUCAGAUUCGGGCACUUAACGCUCUGACAGGCCGGCACAUUUCAUAUUUAACAGUGUUUUCAUUUGAACAGGAGGUCAUGUGACUGACCUGGCCAGUACAGUACGUUCAGUACCUGAAGCUCCGUGUUCGCUUUGUAUUUAGAAUAAUAAACGCCAAGACUCAACCGACGGGGACGUGAGCGUCUCUUUCAACAAAACAUUCAAUCAUUCAUAUAAACGACAUUUAAAGGUGUAAUAUUUAGACAGCGGCCGGUUAGGCACAAGUAAUUGAUCACGUAUUCUCGUCGAGGGGUCCGGUUGUCCGUCCUCCCGAGGGACGGACCGGUUUUGGACUCGGGGGAUGUCAGGUUGAGACGUAGGGCGGUUAAACAAGCGGGACCCGUCCCAGGAAGCCGAUGUUGGGACAGUGUUGGGACGGUGUUAGGGACGGUGUUAGGGACGGUGUUAGGGACAUGUUAGGGACGGUGUUAGGGACGGUGUUAGGGACAGUGUUGGGACGGUGUUAGGGACGGUGUUAGGGACGGUGUUAGGGACAGUGUUGGGACGGUGUUGGGGCGAUGUUAGGGACGGUGUUGGGGCGAUGUUAGGGACGGUGUUAGGGACGGUGUUAGGGACAGUGUUGGGACGGUGUUAGGGACGGUGUUAGGGACGGUGUUAGGGACAGUGUUGGGACGGUGUUGGGGCGAUGUUAGGGACGGUGUUAGGGACAGUGUUGGGGACGGUGUUAGGGACGGUGUUGGGGCGAUGUUGGGGCGAUGUUGGGGACAGUGUUGGGACGAUGCCGGACGCAUCGACUGACGGCCUUUCACGUGUGUACUUGUGAUUAAAACGUUAACAUCUUGGGAUAGUGUCCAACUGUGAGUGUCCCCCCCCCCCUGUCCGUCCACCGCUAAUCACAUAACAAUAACUUGUUUGGUACCACUGCAAGCUCAAAGUCCUCCAGAGGUUGGGGUGACUUAGACUUUCCCAAAUCUCCUUUUGUUGUUUGCUCACUUUUGGCGUUUUGGACGGGACACACACACACACACACACACACACACACACACACACACACACACGGUGUUAGGCAAGACAUUGCAGCUUGUUUCUUUAGUUUGGUUUUAAAAAUAAAACUCCUUCCUGCCUUUGGUGUCUAGACGGGGGAUUUGCCAAUAGCGGGUUCCCAGACUACAGCAGUGCUCACAGACACACCUAUGGGAGAUCUGCACUGAGGGAUCCUUAGUGAUGAGCGGCAUGUGCUGCUAUGUUUUAUUUAAUGUUUGCUUGUGCACAUUUGGUUGCAUGAAGUAAAUAAUGUUUUAAAUUCAGAGCACAGAAUGUGCCGGUACAAACCGCUGAUUACUGACGGAGCGCGCUGAGAAAACGGACACCUGGAGCGCGUUAUGGUGGUAAUCACGUGUGGCCGAGGUAAAUAUCAGGUAGAGAGCGCCGGCGAAACGUCCUUGAUAACAUUUUACAACGUGCCCUUUGGUCCCUUCACCCACAACGCAAUUCCACAGGAAGCUUUAACCGCACAUUCCUGAAAUAGCCUUUCAGAUGGCUGCUUCUAAAAGUGGUGAAAAGGCCGGAGGGAGAACCGGAUGAAGAGCAGCCGCCACCGAGCCAGUGUGAAGAGUGCAGCUUCUCUCCACACAUCUCGGGGUCGCGGGUGCUGGUCACGAGGCCUCCAGGAUCAGCUGCUUUUGAACGCCGGGGGGGGUAAAGCCUCAGCCCAUGAGCUGCGGUACAGGGAGCCCCAGCCGGGCCCCCGAGGAUCGACAGCAGGCAGACGAAUCUUU
This is a long non-coding RNA of Gasterosteus aculeatus aculeatus (three-spined stickleback), 7222 nucleotides long. The record is from Ensembl. NCBI's taxonomy places the organism in Eukaryota, Metazoa, Chordata, Actinopteri, Perciformes, Gasterosteidae.